RNAcentral lists this long non-coding RNA (40365 nucleotides) under Brassica napus (rape). RNAcentral describes it as "long non-coding RNA (BNAP_LNC024659)". The record is from RNAcentral. Lineage: Eukaryota; Viridiplantae; Streptophyta; Magnoliopsida; Brassicales; Brassicaceae.
ACUGUAGAGAUGAUGAUUAAUUACUGUAGAGAUGAUGAUUGAUGAUGGCUACUCUGUUAUUCUUCUUGAGCACAGUACAUAUUUUUAAUUUCCUGAUUACUGUGGUAAAACUAUCAAGGAUACAAACCCGCACACUAAUCUCUCUUCUGAAGCAUAUAGUUAAACUAGUUUCCCAAGGGUAUAAACAGCGGUGAUGAAGAUAACUCACAACCAAACACUGGCAAAUUUCAAAAAAUUUGUUUACACAUAUUUCCUCAGUGUAGCUGAAACUCAUAUAGAAUAUGUAUAAACUUGAGAGUGUACAUUUUUGUCUCACAAAUUACAUAUAGUUUAGUAACGUUUGCAUAGUUAAUCAAGGUUCUCUAGUUGCUCUAUCCGACUUAGUCUAAAGAUGCAUACGUCUGUCAAACAAUCCACGUCCAAAGUUAGCUUCUUUGAAACUUAAAACAAAGAGAUCAAAUGCAGAAUGUAGAGUCAAGAUUUUAAGAGAUGUUGAAGCCGGUUCAAGUUGAUCGAAUGACGAGAUGACCGGUUUAGUGACUUGGAGAAUACGAGAUCAUGAUCUAAACGGUUAUGGAAGAUGGAGAAAGAUAUGGAAAGAAAAAUUUCUGAGAAUCUUCACACGCCAUGGUAUAUAAGGAGAGUGGGGACCUAAGAAAGGGGUUGCGCUUUCUGAGAAAAGAUUUCAAAGCAUUGGGGUUUUUUAGUGGGUGAACGACAACCAGAGAACUGUAAGGGUAGCAACUAGGGUUGGGGUUCUCACGUUUUGGAUAGUUAAGAAUUGGUCAAUCAUGAUACACAGUUGUGUGUAAUCACAAAAAUCUGAUUAAACAAGACUGUUGAGUUUGUUUAAAAGAUUCUUAAUAAAAGUAUUGUUGAGGAAGACUUCUUAUAUCGUCUCUGUUCUAGGUAUUUCAAUUGGUAUCAGAGCACGGUCGACCUCUUCGGUAUUAAGCAUCGUCUACAUGUUGAGAUCUUGGGAAAGAGCAUGGAUCAUAUGAAGGAGCUAAUUGCUAUGCAAAAAACAAUCAUUCUGGAUGGAUCAAAUUUUGGUAACUGGAAAGGUACGAUAAGGCAUGCCAUUCGCAGCGUUGAUGAAGAAGCGUGGGCUGCUGUUAUGAAUGGUUGGUCUGAACCUACCAUGUACGAUGAGAAUAGAAAGGAGGUGCCUAAGCCUUUGGAUCAAUAGACGACUGAAGACAAGAAUUCAUCAAAAUUCAACUCGAAGGCUAUAUCCACUAUUUUCUCGGCUGUAGAUAUUGACCAGUUCAAGAUAAUUCAAGGGUGUGAAUCCGCGAAGGCACCUUGGGACACACUGGUUAACUACUUUUAAGGAGAUAUGAGUGUCAAGAGAUAUCGUCUUGGUCAUCUCGAGACUAAGUGGGAGAAUCUGAUGGAAGUGAAACUCAGGGGAGCUUCACAAAUAAGUUGAAUACAAUUUCAAAUGAAGCAGCUGUGCUUGGUAAAAAAUACUCAGAGAAGAAGCUUUUCAAGAAAAUAAUCAGAUGUCUUUCUAAAUGAUUCGAAGCAUAUAAGACUGUCACCAAAGCUACCAUGAAUUCAGAUGAUACCAAGUUUGACAAGCUGGUAGGACUUCUUAUGUCGUUUGAGCUGGAACGAACUGAAGAUCAAUCACCACCAGUGAAAGGUAUUGCCUAUAUGGCUAAUUCCGAGGAUGAGAGAGGUAAUAAAUUGGAAGCCGAUGUGAGCUUGAUGGCUAAAAGUUUCAACAAUAUUGUGAAAAGACUUGACAAAGGAGUUUCAAGGAGUCUUGGUCGUCUCAACAAAGGCGGAAUCAGCGAAACUCAAGAACGUACGAAGAACUAAAAGAUUAGAAGAAGGAUGUACACAUUCAAUGUGAAUGUAUUUUUUUUAAAGAAAAGAAAUGAAGUGUUCAGAAUGCAAAGGCGUGGGACAUCUUAAGACAGAAUGUCCGAAUCUGCAGAAGAAUGGAGAUAAGUCUCUUUUGUACUUAAGUGACACUGAGUCAGAGGAUGAAGAUGACAACAAGGAUAAUCUACUGAACUUUGUAGCACUGGUGGGAGCAGAAUAAAUCGUUGUCUAACUCUUGAGUCUUCGGAUGAAGAUGGAGAGGAGAUUGAUGUCAAAAAGGAAUACCGCGAGUUGUAUGACCAAUGCAUGAAACUGAGUCAAUAGAACAUUCAGCUGAUAAAGGACACAGCCAUGCUAAAGGCUCAAGUCAACAUUUUGACCAUUGACUUGAGUAACCCGGAGGAUAAAGAAAGCAAGGCUCAUGAAUCCUGAAAUGUUUUGAAAAACAUGAAGGAUAUAUAGCAGAAGCUCGUUGAAGAAAAACAGAAAAAUCUCGCUCUGGAAGAUCGUGUAGCGAAAAUAAGCAUUCACAGAGGAACAUGCCAAAUCUCGAUGUUUGGAACAUGAUUUGACCAAAACCACAAAAAGAUUCGGAUGCUGAGCAGAGGAACCAAGGAUCUCUACCAGCUCUUGACUAUAGGACAACUUCCAAAAAUCAACAGGGAUUGGGUACAAUGGAAAAGAGUCUGCUACAACUGUGUUUGUGCGUGAAAAGGAACCACUACAAGAGCGAGUAACCAUAACCGAAAAAAAGGAAUGCUCUAGGCCGAGAGAGCCAAAAGAAAAUAUGUCAUGACGGGACACGUGCAUGCAACAGUGACUGAUAAAAGGACAGAAACCAAAGAUAAGAAUCCAGAGAAACUGCUGUCUCCACCAACCAUCAAACGUAGAGGUUGUUUUGCUUGUGCAAAAAUGGGACACAAAAAGGCAUUUUGCUAUAGAUUUCUUCAGAAGAUUCACUAAGUGUGCAAAGCUGGCAAAUGCUAUAUCGAAAGAAAAUGGUUCGAAAGAGUCUGGAUAGCCAAGACAGACUUGUACCCCAGAGAUGCACUUGCUGCGAAUGAGCAAAAUGUGGCGGGAGCUUGGUACUUUGACAGUGGAUGCUCUAGACACAUGACUAGAGAUGAGGGCAUAAUGAUAAAUGUGGUUCAUAUUUCUUGAAAAAGGGUCAUGUUUGGCGAUGGCAAGAAGGGGAAAAUCCAAGUGAUUGGAUCAAUUAACCACCCAUCGCAGCCAUCUCUCGUAAAUGUCUAUUUGGUAGAAGGACUAAAGUAUAAUCUGAUCAGCAUAAGUCAGCUGUGUGAUAAAAGACUAACAGUGAUGUUCACCAAAACCGAAUGCAGACCCAUAGAUGAGGAAGGAAGGGUGAGACUCUCAGGAAUUCGAACUGGAAGUAACUGUUACAUGUGGAGAGCGCCAGGGGUAGUUGAACUUGUCAUAUCAUAAACUGAUGAUCAGAACAGUUCUCAGUGGAAAGCCUCUAUGGAUAUGAGGUGAUGAAACUGUCCAAGUCGAUAGUGUGGAAGCCGCAAUCAUAUCUGAGAUGUCUGCAGUGCUGUGAUGAUUUAAUGCACGAAGAAGGUCGUUCUAGGGUCACACCGCGGGCGGUCAUUCUAAACGCAAGUGUUGGAAACUUUCCGUAUCAGUGAAAACAUGAGUAUCAGUUAAGUGUCACAGGAGAACUGAUGUACAUUCUUGGAGCCCAACAAAAGUGCUUAGAUCAUGAGUUAAAGGCCAUGAGUUUAACCAAACGGUUCGACAACGAAUCAAGCAAAGAUGAUAAGCCUGAGGAACAACAUCAACGCAGUAGUUCAGUGCAACAAAGCAUUGAUGAUAAGCCUUGUCUAUAUUACAGAAGGUCAAUCAGAGCUUUGUGUUGAUUUGAGUCCGUGUGAAGAUGUACAACUGUUGUCUAAUCCGUACUACCUUCAUGGAGUAAAGCGAGUGAUUGAGUACAUUCAGGGACAACUUGUAUGUAACUUUUAUGAGCUUACAUGCAAGAAUGUGUGUUUUGCAGUGCUGCGUGACGGAUGUUGGUCCAAGCUGCAAGAGCUGUACAUCAAUGAUAGCCAAGAUACUUCUCUGAUAACACUACAUGAGCAUUUUGCUCUUGGAAAGGUGUGUUCAACUCCUCUGGAUGAGACACCUGAUCAACUGUUAUGGUAAAAUUGCUAACUUUGAAUGGUUUGCAUGUUAUAAUUCAAAAUGUGAUCACUUUGUGUGUAAAAGAAGAGCAUAUGUUAGGGAUAGGUAUAUUGAUGUUAGACACCAUUUUAUGUUCAAUCUGUUGGAAGAGAAACUAGCCAUUCUCAGACAUAAGACCUCAGAAAAUCAGUAGUCGGAUAUGUUCAAGAAACCCUUGGAUCUCAACAGUCUCUUGUAUUCACGAGAUGCUCUUGGGAUUCGCUAUCUUUAAACAAUAAAUUGUAACCAAGAUGAUUUUCCACUAUAAAUGGUAAACCUCUUUAGUCUAAUAAGUGCUUGCAACCCUAGUGAAGAGUAUCAACCUAUUUCAGGAAGCUUAAUUGAAAAUAACUAAAAUUCAGUCUCAUGAAGAUAAAUACUCAUGUCGGAUCACGCUGAUACAAAAGUUUGUGUCUGAGUUCGAUCACUGUUUGGACUGAGUUGAGCCAAAACUUACGAAGAAAAAUUCACUUUUCUUUGUAAUACCUAAUAAGAGCUAAAGACUCAGUUUAAAAUGGUCAAAGUCAUAGAUUGUUAUGAAGAGGCCUGUUGAAAUCUUAGUGCAAACAAAUAAAAAAAAAGGAAAGGCACUGUCGGUAUAUAUGCAUCUCGGCUGAAAAAAGCAGUGCCCAAGAAAGAUUGUAACAAAUCGUGUGUUUAAACAGCUUUAAGACAACAUGAUAACUCUUUCGAUGACAUGAAUAUUUCGUUAACAAGGGUACUGAUAGUGGUUUAAAUGAAUCCUGAGGGAAANNNNNNNNNNNNNNNNNNNNNNNNNNNNNNNNNNNNNNNNNNNNNNNNNNNNNNNNNNNNNNNNNNNNNNNNNNNNNNNNNNNNNNNNNNNNNNNNNNNNNNNNNNNNNNNNNNNNNNNNNNNNNNNNNNUUAAAUGAAUCCUGAGGAAAAGAGGUACCGCAUUGGAUAGAUAAGAUUGCAUCUCGGCUGAGAAAGACAGUAUCUCUAGGUUGCAAAUGCUCUUAAUUGACUAUGAGGUGGUAAGAGUUAACAGUUUAGGGAAAAAUGAUUCAAGAAUGUGGUUACUGUAUCUUGUAGAGUGGUUUGAAGUUAAAAGCUGAAUGAGGAAUUAUGUCUGAUUUGUUCCACUUUAUGUGAAGUACGACUAAGAAAUUGGGAGUAUUAACUCAGUGUGGGGAAAUAAUGGUGAACAUUGGUGUCAUAGCUGAACAUAAGGUGUUAAAAGCUCUUUGAACACAUGUGCAAAAAAAAAUGAUUAGUUUUGUGUAUCUGUUUCUUAAGUGGAAAAUAUGUGGGCUCCAUUUUCAUGUCUUACUAACCAUGUUUUAAAGAUAUGUGGUUUAGGAACAUGUAUCUCAUCUAAAGACAAGUCUCAUGGCUCCAGAUCGUUCGUAUCUGAUGAUGCGCACAGAAGAUACUGAAGUCUCUGUCUCAGAGGAUUCCGUCGUCAAAUGGUUAUUCCCGUACAUGUUCAUGCGUUCACGUCAGCUUUGAAUCUCAUCGAUAAUGUUAGUUGGAGAGCUACAGUGACGGACGUUUCUGCAUUCUCUCCCAUCUUGGUUAGAGAGUUCCUUGCAAAUCUCAGUGAAGCGAACUCUACAGUUCGAAUUCGGAAUGAAGUCUUUCAGAUUACUUCAACUGUGGUAAAUCAGACUUUCGACAUACCAGAUGGUGGGGAUUCCGAGGAAUGGAAGCUAGCAUAUCUGGAUCACUCUGAUUCAAUCCUCCCUGGUGGACUUCGCAAUCAAUGGAAUGAUUUCUCUGUCGAAGAUAUUUGACCAGUGUAUCGACAUGUUUACGAAGUCUACAGUACCAACUGGAUUUCGGGAGACGACAAGGAUGGUAUUGUUGAACAGCGCAUCAGAUUUCUGAGUUCUAUUGUAAGGCCCCGACCCGGCUACCUAAGCCACGGUCGAUACCUCACGCCGCUCGGUCCAUACACUGACCGAGCCUCUCAAAAUUUCGCCCUUUAUCUAUAUUAUCGCCCAUAGGCGAGGGCUAACUUAGAUCUUAUCUUAAGACUAUCUUAGUCAUUCCCUAGCUUAGAUCAUUGCAACUUAUGAUUGAUCAAAGGAUGCUCUUACAACCGGUGCAUCCUUUGAUCAAUCAGAUCAGACACCUUGAUCCAUCACCUAUGGAUCAGGUCGUCCAUCCUUGCCCAGGACCAGAUAACACACGGCCUUCCUUGGAUAAACACACUCGGCCCCAUACUUGUGGUCCAUGCCACUUAGUACUGGCCUUACUCACCUCCACGGCUUGCUGUUGGUUCCAAACGAAUUGGACUUUGCACUCUACAUGGUUCCUCAUAUACUAGGACCCCCAUGUGUCUCCUCCAUGAGUCGGAUCAUUGAUUCACACCAUGAUCAGAACUAACACACACACCAUGAUCCACCAUGGAUCACUAUCCAAUGAGUGGCCUCUAACUUCCAUCUCACAUGGAUGAUUUAGAUCAACUAAGAUCCGCCCUUCUCUCUGGGUCCUAGAUCCUUAGUUUACAUCAACACAUAUGGUCUUCAAGGGGCGUGUCAUACUUGGCCUUAACCGCACCACAAGAGAGAGAAAUACAAACUAGAAAGUAUUUAUAAAAUCGGUUACCUUAUAUACAUGAUCUGAUUCAUGUGCCUUUUCUUAUUAUGUUCGUCCAUGCUCCUCCAGUGCACACCUCUAUAAAUCUUUAUCAUAUACUUCCAGUUUUGAUAAGAUUUCUCCAUGGGUCGCACCAAUGUUCCCAUCCAUAGAACUCCCAUGAAACCAGUUUCUACACUGCAUCCGCCUUCAAGGUUGUCUUAGCCUCUAAGAGUGGAGUCUGGCCUUCUCCCUUCUCUCCUGGUUAUCUGCGUAUGUUCCCAAGACACAGAGGAAGCCUAGGACAUGUUCAUCCAUGAUCAAAAACCACCCAAGGGUCGUGCAUCACUUCCCUCUUUGUUGCCCAUGGAACUGCUUUUCCACACACAUCUGCCUUCAAGGCUGUCUCAGCCAUUGGAAGUGGGAUCCGUCCUCCUAUCUUCUUCCCUGACCAUUUGCGUGUGUUCUCAGGCCCUGGAGGAUGAUUUGGGUGUUAAUAACAUGAAUCAAAACCUAUCAAAGGGUCGUUCAUAACUUCCUCUUUGAUCCCUCCCAAAACUACCUCUUUAUGGCCUUCAAACCAGUCAGGGAUUGAAUGUUGAAUCUGACCAACUCUCUGUGUUUUCUCUGAUUUUCUUUGUGUUUCAGAGUGUAGGAAGAAUCCCUAGCGUGCCUGCAAAAGCACGGACUUGUCUUCCUUAUAUAGGAGAAGGGAUGGUUACUUCUUAACCAUUGCAUCCCUUCGGUAUCAUCUCUGGCCAUUGAUUUAAUCAAUGGUCCAGAUCACACUCUCUCGUCUCUGGCAGUUACCAGACGUCCUAGAACUGUCAAACCACUCCUGGACAUGUCCAAAGAAAACCCACACGGAUUGCCCAUGCUCCUGGCUCAAUCCCAAGAGCCAACCAGCCCAUCGGCACACAUGGGUCGCCCACAUGGCCCGGCCACUGUCCAGACCUGGCCCAACUGCCCAAGACUUGAACACUCAGUCCAGCUGAGUUGAGCUGAUCCCCAGCUGACCCAGAUGAGUGAGCUAGACCAUCCAGCUCAGAGAGCUGACCUACACUUCAGUGAGCUACACUGAGCUGCACUAUGCUCCUGGCUCAAUCCCAAGAGCCAACCAGCCCAUCGGCACACAUGGGUCGCCCACAUGGCCCGGCCACUGUCCAGACCUGGCCCAACUGCCCAAGACUUGAACACUCAGUCCAGCUGAGUUGAGCUGAUCCCCAGCUGACCCAGAUGAGUGAGCUAGACCAUCCAGCUCAGAGAGCUGACCUACACUUCAGUGAGCUACACUGAGCUGCACUACAAUUCACCUAGCUGGUCGAGCUUGCUUACCGCAUCGCCCAGCUGUUAUACACUGCGUCCAGCUUGCUUUCUUUAUCUUCUUCAAUACUUAUAAGUCCCUUGGUCUAUUUACAGACCUAGACUUAGGAUGCUGACUUACACUUGGUGAGUUACCUCCGAGCUUCACUAUUGCAUCGUCCAGCUACCGUAACACUCGACCAACUCCUUUGAGCUUGUCUCCAACCUGUUUUGGUUAAGUCUCAGCUGUCUGAUUCCCUUUACCACAUUUUUUGGAUCAUGACACGCUUGUCUUUAGGUCAUAUGACCUGACUGGUGUGUUUCCUCGCACCAUGACUCAUCCCGGACGAUCCUAUCCAGGAUCGGGGAUGCUACAUCUAUGAUUAUGAGGAAGCGAAUCAACUUUAGUGAACUACUGUUGUCUCAGAUUUAUCGCAUCUAUAGCGAUCCAACAGAGGAUUAUGAUGUCUACUUUCCAAACUUUAUUCAUCAAAUUCUGAAGUGUCAAGAGGAAGUUAGUCACAUGCUUGAUGAUGAUCAGAUUAUGGAGCCUCUGUGCAUCAACGAGGACACAUUGGACGAACAUGUUUUUAUUUGACGAGUCUCACAUUCAGGGGGAGAAGUCGUAGCCAUACAUGCGUUCAUCUGUGUUUGGGAAUUUUGUAUUGUAUUUGCUGUUUCUUGGUUGCUUUGUUUUGAUCUAAACUAUGCUUGUGUUUUAUAGCUUCUUGAACUUGUUAUGAAUUUGGUGUGAUAAUGGUCAAACUGAAGGUUGAUGAGCAUUUGAGAUUGUGUGCUUUGACUAAUGUGAUUGCACCUGGUGACAUGAACGUUGUGUAAGUUUGUUUAUGCAUGUUUGGGAAUGAGGUGACUCGUGCAGAUAAAAAGGGAGAGAUUCUAGAGUCAAAAUUUUAAGAAAUGUUGAAGUCAGUUCAAGAUCGUCCCGGUUCAAGUUGCUCGAAUGACGAGAUGACCGGUUUAGUGACUUGGAGGAUACGAAACAUUUAUGGAAGAUGGAGAAAGAUAUGGAAAGAAGAUUUUCGAAGAAUCUUCACACGCGGUGGUAUAUAAGGAGACUGAAGACCUAAGAAAGGGGUUGCGUUUUUUUAGAGAAGAUAUCAAGGCAUUAGAGUUUUCUAGUGAAAAAGCGACAACGAGAGAACUAUAAGGGUAGCAACUAGGGUUGGGAUUCUCACGUUUUGGGUAGUUAAGAAUUGAUCAGUUAUGAUGAACGAUUGUGUGUAGUCACAAAAAUCUGAUUAAACAAGACCGUUGAGUUUGUUUAAACGAUUCUUAAUAAAAAUAUUGUUUGAGGAAAGCUUUUUAUAUCGUCUCUGUUCUAGGUAUUUGACAGAAGUCUCCUUUUGAUUAGUGGUCGGUUGCCACAUUUCUCCAGCUAGAAUUGUUGGAUCCACAUUUUCUAUUUAUAUGUUGACCACUGACUUCUAUAUACAUUUAAUUGGUCCGUGUUUUGUUCGGCAUAUAGUUUGUUAGCCACACAAAGUGAAGACUUCCACAAUUGAAGAGUCAAGCAACGUAACUUUAACUCUUGUCAUCGUUAUACUUUAUAGUUUAUACUCUCUAUAUAUAUUAUUAUUAUGUUGUUUUGGCUGAAAAACCAAUUCAUACGAACCAAGUUUCUUCUUCAAUAUCUUUGUUUUGUUUCGAAGUCUUUAUUUUCCUAAUGGCAAAACCGUGUUUCCCUGUUUCUACCAUCUCCAGUUUUUUAUGUUGUCUCUUUGUCUCCAGCUUCUUUGUCAACAGUCUUGUUUCUCUUCCAUUUCCUCAUCCAGACCAGAUUGAGAUCCUUCUGGCUUUUAAGAACGAGUUUCCAAUCCUCAAAUGCGACAUCAGAAAGUGGUCUGAAUCAAGACAAAAGACAAAAUCUUGGACCAGCAAAGUCAAUAAGUCCUUUGAUGGAGUUUGGUUUGAUAGCGAGACUGGUCUAGUAACGGAACUAGACCUAAGUGGUGCGUGCCUCAGUGGCAGUCUCAGUGCUAAUAGUAGCCUUUUCAGACUCCACCACCUCAGGUACCUUGAUCUCUCUAACAACUACUUUGACUCCUUCUCCUUCCUCCCCGAACUUGCCAAACUCACAAACUUAGAGAUCUUGGAUCUUUCUCAUAUGGGCUUAGCCGGUGAAAUUCCAACCUCAGUCAGUAGCUUAAACCGUCUAAGGGACUUGGACCUUUCCGGUAACGAGCUUAUCGGCAGUUUUUCCCCUCUAAUCAAUCUAUCAAGGCUCUCUUAUUUAUCUCUUUCCAAUAAUCACUUUUCUGGAAAUGUUCCUUGUUCUCUACUCACCAUUCCUUCCCUGUCAAUUCUUUAUUUGAGCCAAAACCAUCUCAUCGGCACUCUUGAAACUAUGAAUUGCUAUUCAACGUCCAUGCUUGAAUCGUUAUAUCUUAGCAAUAACCGUCUCAGUAGUGGAAGCCUAGAGCCUCUCUCCAAAUUUUUCUACCUCAAAGACCUCGACCUAUCUUUUCAGAACACAACCGACCCAGUCAACUUCGUCUCGUUGGGCUUCAAGUCUUUAGAGUCAUUGGAUCUUUCCGGAAAUGCUAUAUCAAGGCUUAAUAUCAGAUCACCAAAUUUGAAGGAACUAGCCUUGAAUGAAUGCAGCAUCAACGAGUUCCCCACAUUUAUUAAAAACCUACCGAAGCUGAAAACUUUGCGCAUUGCAAACAAUAGUCUCAAAGGAGAAGUGCCAAAAUGGUUAUGGAGUAUGCCUUCUUUGAUUCAAUUGUCUCUGUCUCACAACUCCCUCGAUAGUUUUGAAGGCUCGCCAAAAGUGGUUCUCAAUUCGUCGCUUUACUGGUUAGACCUGAGUUCAAACGCUUUUCGAGGAUCUCUUCCUAUUGUUUCACCGACAUUGAACUACAUGUUUGCAUCAAAUAAUAGUUUCUCAGGGGACAUACCUCUUUCAUUGUGCAAUCAAAACAACAAUCUUGUCCUGGAUCUAUCGCAAAACCAUUUCAGUGGUUCUAUUCCCGGAUGCUUGUUUACAUCAUUAGUAUAUCUGAAUCUCCGAAACAACAAUCUCACUGGGAAUCUUCCCAACAUAUUCGAUAAGAGUAGUUAUCUGAUAACACUUGACGUUAGCCACAAUCAAAUAACUGGGAAGCUUCCAAGGUCUCUUACAAAUUGCACAAACCUAGAGUUUGUAAAUGUGGGGAGCAAUAGAAUCGCUGACAGCUUUCCGUUUUGGCUGAAGGAUCUACCGAACCUACAAGUCAUUGUCUUACAAUCAAAUAUGUUCCAUGGUCCAAUCUAUUCCCCUCAACAUCCUCUAUCAUUUCCACAACUGAGAAUAAUGGACAUAUCAGGUAAUAAAUUCACCGGAAGCCUACCACAUGAUUACUUUAUCAAUUGGAGUAAACUCUUGAUCAGUAUUCCCCAGGAGAAAAGAGAGUACGUGGGAUAUGAUUCUAUGUAUGAUUAUUACCCUUCCAUGUAUUUGAGAAGCAAAGGAAUAAACAUGGAGCUGGAAAAGAUCCUUGUGACCUACACAGCCAUUGAUUUCUCUGAAAACAAACUUGUAGGACAGAUUCCAGAAUCUUUAGGCCUUUUGAAAUCUCUUAUUGUGCUCAACCUAUCCAACAAUCAUUUUACAGGUCACGUUCCAUCCUCUUGGGCUAAACUCACGAGGCUCGAGUCACUAGACCUAUCUCGGAACCAACUUUCUGGAAAAAUACCGCAGGAGCUAGCAACCCUCUCGUUUUUGGAGUACAUUGAUGUUUCACAUAACAAACUCACGGGACAGAUACCACAGUCUACACAGAUUGGAGGACAGCCUAAAUCAUCUUUUGAAGGGAAUAUCAAUCUUUGUGGUCUUCCUCUUGAGCAGAGUUGCUUCAGUGACAAGGUACCAUCAACACCAGAGGCACAAGGGCCAUGGCCUCAAAAGCAAGAACAAGUGUUAAAUGGACAGCCACAGACGUCCUGUGUGUGCUGAAGGACACACACGUACACACAUUCAAAUUGCACAAACCUAGAGUUUGUAAAUGUGGGGAGCAAUAGAAUCGCUGACAGCUUUCCGUUUUGGCUGAAGGAUCUACCGAACCUACAAGUCAUUGUCUUACAAUCAAAUAUGUUCCAUGGUCCAAUCUAUUCCCCUCAACAUCCUCUAUCAUUUCCACAACUGAGAAUAAUGGACAUAUCAGGUAAUAAAUUCACCGGAAGCCUACCACAUGAUUACUUUAUCAAUUGGAGUAAACUCUUGAUCAGUAUUCCCCAGGAGAAAAGAGAGUACGUGGGAUAUGAUUCUAUGUAUGAUUAUUACCCUUCCAUGUAUUUGAGAAGCAAAGGAAUAAACAUGGAGCUGGAAAAGAUCCUUGUGACCUACACAGCCAUUGAUUUCUCUGAAAACAAACUUGUAGGACAGAUUCCAGAAUCUUUAGGCCUUUUGAAAUCUCUUAUUGUGCUCAACCUAUCCAACAAUCAUUUUACAGGUCACGUUCCAUCCUCUUGGGCUAAACUCACGAGGCUCGAGUCACUAGACCUAUCUCGGAACCAACUUUCUGGAAAAAUACCGCAGGAGCUAGCAACCCUCUCGUUUUUGGAGUACAUUGAUGUUUCACAUAACAAACUCACGGGACAGAUACCACAGUCUACACAGAUUGGAGGACAGCCUAAAUCAUCUUUUGAAGGGAAUAUCAAUCUUUGUGGUCUUCCUCUUGAGCAGAGUUGCUUCAGUGACAAGGUACCAUCAACACCAGAGGCACAAGGGCCAUGGCCUCAAAAGCAAGAACAAGUGUUAAACUGGAAAGCAGCGGCAAUGGGAUAUGGCCCUGGAGUCUUGUUUGGACUAGCGAUUGGACAAGUCUUUUAUUCGUACAAACCAGUGUUGUUCUUCAAGUUGUUUCGUCUUUGAAAUAAAUUUUGUGCAUUUGGUGUUGUUGUAAUAAGUGUAAGGGUUCUUGCUACCGUUAUGACAUAGAUAUGCAUGUGUGUGUGUGUGUGUGAUAUCGAUAAGUUAUUAUGUCAUGAAAUAAAGUUAAAGCAAAAAUUGGUGCUCAAAUUUCGUAUCACUAACAUAAAAAAACAGAGGAGGUCUACUCUGUUCUUCUUCAAAGACUGUUUAUUUUAUUUGCCUGAGUACCUGAUAGACGCGUUGUUUGGCACCCGGCGUUCUGACACACAGCUUCACGGUGGAGAAAAAGGGUCGAUCACGGGAAGAGAUUGAACUGUCUUUAAAUUCCAAAAUGACAACUUGAGUUAAGAGUCGGAAUGAAACAGGAAAACCAGUGAAGAUAAAUCCUGAUCUAGAAGAUGAUUACAAAUGAAGAAAAAAUAUUUGAUUAUGAUGGAUGAUGGAAGGUUGAUGAUGAAUGAUGAAUGAUGAUGAUGACGACAGAGAGAAAAUAUUAAAGAGGAAUUAGGUUUAGUUUUUUUUUAUUGAAUAUUCUCAAAUGGCUAAUCCCUGACAUAUGUCGUGAGAAAAAGAUAACUAAACCAUUCGGAGUUGCUCGCAUAUUCUUCCACCAUCGUCAACCUGGUCAUAGACAUUCGUAUUCUACUUCAUAUGGAAUCUCUAGCUUUCCUUCUGCGGGUUUACUGUAACAUCCAUCUCCUCCUCCCUCGAGAACGGGUAUUACUUGCCCAAAAACACUAAAUUUAACCGAUUUACUAAAAAGCAAAUAAAACAUUGAAACGUCAAUUUAAAUAAAUUCAAUUGAAAUACAUUUUUAAAAUGAAUUAUAAAAAUAUUACAAUAAAUCAAACGAAAAAACGAAAUAAAAUACAAUGACCCAGAAGCACUAAACCGUCCGGAGAUUCAACUAUUCGUCAUAUUUACUUCCAAGAGAAAGAAAAAGGGGUGAGUAAUAGAGGAGUCACUCAGUGAGGUAUGAGAUGCUAAACAGCAGACUACUGACUCAGUACAUAGCACUAUGAUUAUGUAGGCUAGUUCAAGCAUGAAACAAAUGCGGUGCUUAGUACACCUCAAAGAACAAACAUAUGCCUAAUGUACAAUACAAACAAUGCGAUGAUAGUAUAAGCUACUCUAUGCACCAUGCAUUUCCUCAUAAGGAUAUAUGAAUAUCUCCAGACAUACAUAGUCCAUUUCUACACUCCCAUAAUUUGCACGUUGGCGACUGAUACUGUUGCAGGCUGGGAUUCAGGGUUGGCAAGAUGGAUGAUGGAAGCUUGAUGGAUCGACCAAAAAUAUGAUCGGAUGGGCGAUAUGAUGGAAUGCAAGUUAUGAUCCUGAAAACAAAUGCAAAAACAAAUGAGAUAUGAUUUCUAAUAUGAUAAAACAAGAUAAAUAAAGAUAGAUACGAUGGAAUUAGGCUGCUGGUCGUGUGACACUCUCAGACAAAUCAGUUGAUGAUUGAAGUGGAUUGAGAUGGUGCUUUGCUUGCUGGAUGUGUAUCACUCUCAAGCUUGGCAAACGAAUUGGAAUGGAAGGAUGGGGGAAUAAGGCAGUUUGGUGAUAAUGGGGAUCUUCUUAUUCCUAUGUGGGCUGGUGCAUGGGAUGAAGUUGUAGAACUCUUCUGGCUCAUGUAUAAUGUCUCCUGGAUGUCUUUGUUUUGUCUGGACGUCGUCUGGUUCUCCUGGUUGGAUUGGAAUUGCUUGGAAUGGAUCAAACCGAAAGAUUGUCCAAUCUUUCCAUAAAUAGCUCCGGUUGGGUUUAAGUGAUUCUCCAUUGAACCAACUGAUCUCCUGGGUUCUGGUGCAGCUAAGGACUUCUGGAAUACCUCCUGAUUGGUUAAGAUGAUCUCCUGGUUCCCAUAAAUAGCUCUGGGUCGAACCAAGUUGAAUUGGUUGAAGACUUUCCAUAGAUGACGUCGGUUUGGCCGGUUCUGGGGAAUUGAUCAUAACUCCUAAUUUUCGUGGCCAUUUCUCCUGAUCUUGGGCUUUAUGGAAAGAUGAUAAACUCCUAUUGACUUCUGUGAUGGGUUUUGCUUCAGGCCGCUCCUUCAUUGAGCUUGAAUCUUCUUCUAAAGUCGGGUACUCGCAGAUGGACGGGUUGAGAAACCUCUGAAUUGUAAAAUUCAUAACUUCUUUCUCCGUGAUUAUUUUGGCACAAUUCCAAUUGGCCUGGACUCCUUAUUGAGUGUAGAAUCCAUCAAAAUUAGACUCGUGAUUUAAACCCGCUUGGUUUGUAAGAUAUGGCAUUUUUAGUGCACGUAUAUCCUGGUUGGCGCCUUGGCUGGUUGAGUAGGGUGUUGGGUCGACCUCUGGUUCAGCUGCUGAAUUGCUGGCCGCAACAGAUACAAACGUCUUUGUACCCCGCAAUCUCACUGCUCGUCAGCGGCUUACAGAAACGUCUUUGUGCACCCGCAAUCACACUGCUCGUCGGCGGCUUACACAAACGUCUUUGUGCAAGAAAUAAGUGCAAGAACUAAACUUUCAAUCAAAUGGUAAGAGAGGAUCCAUGGGUAAGGAUAAUUGAUAUAAGAUGAUCAAAGUUCAAUUUAGGAUAUUCAAACAAAACAAUCAACAUGUCUAUAGGUCUAGAACAUUAAUAAAGAUCAAUCUUUUCCCAAAGUAGAGAUCCAUAUGCAAUAGUGAGCUAAACAUCAAUUUCCAUUGGUUGAAUUCAUUCAAGAAUGCAUUAUGUUCAAGUAUACUAACCAUCUAGUAAUCUUAACAUCAAAUCUCUGUGGUUAUUCAAGCUAAAUCAAUAUUAAGUUUAGUCAAGCAUUUAACAAACAUCUUCCGAGUAUAAAAUAGCUUAAUAUCAAAAUGAGAUUGAUCAAGUCAAAUCAAGCAUUAAAAACACCUAAAAAAUAUACAACAAUGUUAAUCAAGCAAGAAAAAUCCUAAAUAUUUACCUAAUCACCCUAAUCUAUCUAACCCAUGAAUCACAAGACUCAUCGAUCACCAUGACAAACCUUAAACCUAUAUGAGAUUCAAGGCUAAUCAUGUUAAUGAGCAGCCAUCGUGGAGCUUCGUCGGCACUGGCUCACAACAUCUCUAUCUCCGCGUCGUGGUCGUGCUCAUCGUCGGAAUCAAGCUCGCCGUCGGGAUCAAACCUCGCUGUCGGCUACAGAUCGGCCAAGAGAAAGCUUGUCCUCUCCAAUGGUGGCUUCUUCUUUAUAUUCAAAGCAGCCCCUUGAAGUCUUGUGUAUUCACGAAUUUGCCCCAGCUAUUAAAAUGUGCAGAUUGCUCCUUUCGAUUUAGUCGCAACCAUUUCAAUUGCGCAGAGCAGACCAGCCGAAUAUUCCUAUUUUGCAACAUUGGUCCCUGAACUUUUGAUAACUUUGUUUCUGACCCCAUACUUUCUAAAUUGCAACCAUAACCUCAAGAUGGCUAUUGCGCCCCUUUCGUUCCCGCUUCCCAUCAAGAACCGAAAAGCGUGUAAUGGAGCUUGUUGGCAUGACCACUUUGAGUGAAGCUUCCAAGUAAGGCUAAGAUCAAACGGCUCACUGUCACUGGAUUUGUCAAUAUUGAAGAUAAAAAGAAAGCUGCUGCUUUCUCGGAGAGUCCUGUCUGGCUUCAUGGUCAAUUCGGAUUCUUCAUUCUUCCAGAGUGUGUGAGCUUCUGGAUGCACAAGACCCUCCAUUUGAAGAUAUACAUUAUUUGACUUUGCAAGAACACAUUUUCCGACAACUUUUCUCCCAAAGAGUGAGCUAAGAGACCAACUUGGCUGUAUAUUUUUCUCAACUGUAUCAGGCUGAAGAACAACAGUAAGAGUCUGCUCGAGCAACAUACCAGAACCCAACCCCUCUUCACCAGAGUCAACCACAGAUAAAUGCAAUCUCUGAGAAUGAUAAAACCCUCCAUAAACAGACGGCCUAUUCAUCAACGCAGACAUCCCAUCCUUGUCUCUACACGGAAGCAGCUUCAGCCACGGAGUCAAAUUCUCCAUACAAACAGCUUCACGCGGCAGUGAACCAUACCUCAAAAGUGCACUAGAUGACAAAAAAAAAUGGAUUUGUGUUUUGUGUUCGUUUGGCCUGAAACAUAUGCUAUGGCCAUAUGGGUAACUAAUGUAUACUGACAUCAAAAGUCAAAACGAUGAAGAAGAGAAAACUUAAAGGAAAAGCUAGUAAUGGAAUCUGAUUUAGAGUCGUGCGGAUAAGGUUUUUAAAGUCAAUAUACAUCAGUUAUGAGGGAUCAAUGACACAUUAAUGUGUUUGUAAACAAAGACGUGAGGUUGAAUUCAGAAAAGUUUGACUAAUGUAAGUCCACCUCUUCUCUAGACGACACACCUCUUCUGUUUAGUUAUGUUUAGAAGUGUGAGUUUGGAGUGAGUUCAGUGUUGUGCAUUCACAUUCCAUUUACUUCAGAAUCAGGUCUAAGCUUCUUUGGUUCUCUUACUAACGGAAUAUUUGAGGUUUCUUUCACGAGAUACUUUUUUUUUCAAUUUUGUCUUCACGUUGGGCUUAGUUUACUUCACAGUCUUUUUUUUUGAUCAAAAAAGACUAUGAAAUAAACUAAGCCCAACGUGAAGACAAAAUUGAAAAAAAAAAAAGAAUCUCGUGAAAGAAACCUCAAAUAUUCCGUUAGUAAGAGAACCAAAGAAGCUUAGACCUGAUUCUGAAGUAAAUGGAACGUGAAUGCACAACACUGAACUAUGUGAGCCCCGUCUGUUUAGCUAUUUACAGUCUAAAGGCUUUUUAUUGUUUAGCUAUUAGACCCAUAUGAGCCCCGUCUGUUUGGUACUUGGUAGUACCAUUUCUUCAUUGUAAAUGAUGAAAGUACAAAAUAAGAUAAAAAAUUGAAAAAAAUCAUGUAAUGCAGAGAAGACAUAAAAUAUGUAAUGCAGAUAAGUUUGAUAAAAAAUAUUAUGAUCGCUGUAUGAUGGAAAAUUUGGGCCGAAUCCAUCUUGAUGUAGCUACCCAUUGGGGUUUUCAGUUAAUGAAAGAGGCCGACAAAAAAAAAUGUAAUGCAAUUAUUGGUUUAUUUCAACUCAUUUUGAGAUGACAUUGCAGCAUGGUGUUUAAAAUGCUUGUGUUAUUUAUAUUGUCUAACUUAUGUUAGAUUGUCAUUUUACUAAUAAUUGGUUAUAGUUUGAGAUUUACAUGUUUAGUUUUAGCAUCCAUAUUGAUUUGUCUUUAUUCCUAUGGUUAUGAAUGGAAGGGCAUGACACAAUGCAGUUCUCUUGCACGUGCAGUUCUCCCGCAAUACAUUCAUCAUUCACGUUUUUCUGUUUGCAAAAGCAAUUUUAGCGGGAAAUUUGCAUGCAAUUCGAUAUUUUUGUCUUUUUGUGGAAAAAGCAAUAGAUCUGCAUGCAGAUCUCAUUCGCUAACAUUUGGUGGUGUUGAUAUGCUUUUUUUUUUUCUUUUUGAUAAUAAAUAAUUUUGUUACAAACACUUAACUUUAAAAUAUGUUUAUCUGAUUUUAUAAAUAAUGUACAAUGAUUACCUCAAACUAUAUAGUUUACACUAAUAUUGUUUGUGUUGUUUUAAAAUUAUAAGCAUGACGUUCAAUCGCCGACAAAACAUAACAUUUUCAACGGAAGAAGAUAUAAAUCUUCAUAUAUAAAUAUCAACAAGGGUAAGUAGUUAAUAUUUUUUUUUAUGUUUUAAAAUAAUUAAUAUAUAGGUAAAUGAUUGAAAUUUUGUAAAUCUAUUGAGAGAAGACAAUUUUAAAUGAAAUCUUAACCGAGAACGUGUAUUUAUUGAGUUGUACGAUCAAAUAAUUUUCAUGACUAAUUACCGUUUCAAAUAUCUUACACCCACUGGUAGAGAGUUUUCCGGUGGUAAAUUUAACCAAAAGUUCAAUAUUAGUGUAACCUACUGGUUCUCUCAAGAAAAUCUUGAUCACCUAAAAAUAAAAUAGAAGAAGUAUAAAUAUCUUAUAAAAUAUUUACAGGUAUUUCGGUCAUCUAAGAUAUUUGUUUAGAUAUCUAGGUGUAAUUUUUAUUGUUUCAACAUAUGUUCUAUAGUUUUGAACUGAUUUUGACAUUCAUAAGUUAUAAUAAAUUAUUUGAUCGGUUUGAUAUGUUUCUCUCUUGCAUGAUCUAUUUGAUUUACACUUGUCCUACUUGAUCUGUAUGAUCUGCUUAAUCUGUCCCGUUUGAACUGUUUUUACCAUUCGACCUAUAUAUCGCAAAUGAAUAUAGAAGGAAAAGAGAACAAGGGAUCAUGUCAAAAUAAGUCCACAUCAGAAGUCACUUCACACACGCAAAAGCAUGCCAAUGUCUUGUCAAAUCAUUUUACAUCUAGACAAAAUCUUACAUCCGUAUAUAUACACUGAUAUAAAACACAUAUAUGACCGGUCUUAAAAUUUUAGUGGCUGUAAUAAUAAAUUUUAAUUUUACAAAUUUAAAGAUUUAUGUCUAUGUAAUUUUCAUCAAAAAAAUUGAAGGCUAUAGGACAAUGCUUCACUAGUCCAUGACAAAUACCAGUAUUCUAAAUUCUAAAUACACAAUGUUAUAGUCAGUUCAUUUUAUAGCACGAAGUAUGUUUUUUAUGGGACCGACAAAAUAAUCCGAUAAAACAUAUUAAAAAUUAUAUUUAAGUAUUAGAUAACCUUCGUUAGUUGGGCGGGAAAACAAAAUUAUUUGGGACGCGUUUAGAGAAUAAAUUGAUUAUUAACUACUUCACUCAUAUUCAGAUUGAAAAUAUGAAGUAUAAAUCAUGGUACUAAAAAAAUUGCAUGUGUGGGUACUUAUCUAAUACGUCUUGCAAUGAUAAUCUUUUUUAGUCGUGCAAUGAUAAUCAAAUAUACUUUUAUUGUUUUAGAUAUAAAUCAUUACUCAAAAGAGUCGACUUCAUAUUUUCUUGAAGUAGUUUCAGUUGAAAUAAUUGAAAUCAUUAGAGUAACAGUUUGGUGGGUAGCAGUUCUCUGGAUAAAUUUAAGUUUUGUUCGGUGAAUUGGUGAUAAAACAAUACGGCUAUACAUAUAUAAGUUCUAUCAAUUUCUAAAACAACCGUUUGGUGAUAGAAUUAAAUGAUAGAUCUUCUCUUCAUAAAUGAGGUAUUGACAUAGAAGAGAGAUCCAUGGGGUUUCAAAAAUCUAAGUGUAGACUGUAGACACAUACUAAUGUAUUGAGAGUAAUAUCUAGAUAUAUAGUAAAUUGAAGAAUGCAUGUUCGCAAUAUUGUUUUUGCAUGCAAUUGAUUAGAAUGCUGAGGAGCUUUGGUCGAGAAGUAGGUCCGAUGGCUUGCAGAUAGGGUAAUAACAGCCUUAAGAAAGAAGAAAAUUAUUAUAUAUGACCACCACACUAGAAAUUGUUGAUCCAUGUUUGAACUUUUUAACAGUUAGAAAUAAAUCUUCUUUAAACAAAAAGUAGCUGAGAUUUACUGUUUCACCACCUGUCCUCCUGUUAUUAUUCCGUCUUUCAUGAAAUUACAUUUAUUUUAGAGGUAUUCAGGUGAAUAUAUAUAGAUAAGAAUUUAAUUAUGUAAGUAUGCAAUGAUGUGACUUAAUUAAAUAUAUGAAAAUCAUGAUGGUGAAUUUUUACGAAUUUUUACCUUCUAAGACAUAUUAUGUCAUUAGAAUUGCAUAUUUAGACACUUGUUGCUGGAGGCACACAAUUUCUAUGUGCAAUGUCCUAGAAGCCCUCAACCUUAUCUAACAAUAACUAGAAAGACACUGACUAACAACUCUAACUAAAUCCAAAAGUCUUUUUAUUAAAUCAUUCAAAAAUCUAUUUAUUUUAGAAUUUUGAAAUUCAAGUUCAGAUUCACUUUUAUUGAACUCUAUUUUCUUUUUAUUUAUUUUCAUAACGCAUACCCAAAUCCAAUAAUCACGAUUCACUCUCUUUCAUCAAAUCAAAGAAACCAUUAAUUCUUAAUCCUCUUGGCUUGUCUCCUUCUUCUCAACUUUUUCUUAUUCCUUUGUCUAUCUCCAUUUUUUUUGUCUGUUUUUUAUCCUCUUAUUACGAAUCAUGACAGAAUCCACAGAUAAAAAAGAGAAAGAAAAGACGCCUCAACAUGGAUUUCAAGCUCAACAUCGCGUCGGUGAGCUCGGUGGCUCAGUGAAGCCAUGGUGGUUCGAGCUCGUCGAAAUCCUCCGCCACCACAAGAUCUGCUGCUCAAGUUGACUCCUCGCCUUGCUCAACUCAUUUCCGCGAAGUCUCGUUCAUUAUCUAGGUGAAGCUGCAGUGGUUUGAGCUUGGUAUCGCCAUGGAUGAAACCUCGAUAAGAUCUGCAAUAAGAAUGAUGAAUUUACAUAUUUGGUCCUUCUAUUUAUGUAAGUAUUUGUUUUCACCCUCAAUUUUUAAAUGUGCAGAUUUGUAUUCUAAUUAGUAUCAAAUUUUUCAAGUAUACACCACAGCCAUGUUUUAUGCAAUUAUGUUCUUCAUGAUUACAAUGUCCAUAUAAACAUAUCAUAAUCCAUGUCCACACCUACUAGCUCACAAAUAAUCGAUAAUGGACAUCAUUUAACAUGAUCUCUUUCAGAAACUUUGACGUGGAUACAACUUGUGUAUCAUACAAAUAUGUCUAGGUAUUUUCGUUUACACAUUUAUAUCCAUGUUCACAUAUCUUACGUUCACACUUUUAUCAUCCAUAUCCAUACAUUUUUAUAAGUUAUAUAUAAUAUAUAUAUAUAUAUAUAUAAUUAGAUAAAACAAUAAAAAUAUAUAUCAUUAAAUAAAAAAUAGAAAACAAAACAUAGAAUUUUGUAAAAAAAAAAUAUUGUGUCCACAUCCAUAAAACAUAUGUCAAAUAAAUUAUAAUUUAGCAAUUUAGUUAGACAUUAAAAUAUAAAAUAUAUAUAUAUGGAUAUCAAAAUAAUAAGAAAAAAGAAACAUGUUUUUAUAUGGUUAUUAUAUAUUUAUUUAAUCAGAAACUGAAAUAGUGUAUGAAUCAAUAUGGUUUUGUGUCCAUGUCCACAAUUAAUUUAUAACUAUAUUAUCCACACUAUGGUAUCCAUGUCCAUACUUUUUUUGUAUAUAUAUUAGUAUAUAUAUAUGAAAAUGGAUGUUAAAAGAUAGAAAAUUUUAUACAUAAUUUAAUGUGAUAAUUAUUUUUGUUUUAUAUAUUUUAGAAUUUAAAAUAAAAGUAAAUGAAACAUUAAGAGAAAUAAGAAAAACAAGUUACAAUUUAUACUUACCCAAACAUAAGCGCAUCUUCCGUUUCUUCUGAGCAAGGGCAUUUCUGUCCAAAACAGCUCUCAGAUUCAAGAAAAGUGUCCCUUCAGCGGAUUGUGUUUUAAAGUGUUAAAAAAGAUAAAAAAAGUGUCUUAAAUGGUAAUCGACUCUUAUAUUUUGGACCCUUCAUUGGACUAGCUUCAAAACAACUAUUUUUAGGUUUAUUACACAAUAUCGAUCCAUCCAGAUUCGAUCUUUUUUUUUUUUUAAGUCUUAAACAUUUUGAAAGAUCCAAAAAAGAGUAAAGAACAUAGAUAGUUUGAUGGUGUUCUUCUUCUACAGCAUCCCACUGCCUGAUUCAAUAAUAAAAAAAAAAAGAAAAAGAGAACAAGGAAUCAAAACCGAUAAAUAAAGCAAACAAAGAAUAAAACAUUGUAUACAAACUAUACAUGGAAGAAAACUCUCGGUGAAAGGAUACACCGUUGGGUGGUUCACAAGUCCACCAUGAUUAGUCCUCUUCCACCUUCUAGUAUCUAUAUUAUAACAACACCAUUUCUCCUCAGUCACGCAUAUGAUCUUGUUCUCUAAACAAGUCAUGGCUAAAACUUUUUCCAGCGAACACAUUCUUGAAAAAAGUGAACAGUAUUGUUUUCACAGUUGAAUUAUUUUGACUUUUAUCUUUCAUAUGGUUUUGAAAGCUUUCAAAUCAACCAUCGAAUUGAUACAUGUCAUUUUAAUGUUUUUAGUCGUAUACUUAAGGAAAACUUACAUUUUUGUAAUUUAAAGUCGUUUUAAAAAAAUUCAAAAUAUAGCAUAUAAGAAAAUUCUAACAUAUAAGAAAAAUAUAACAUAUAAGGUGUCCUCAUUUUUGUAUUUUAAAGUCGUUUAAAAAAUAUAUAUAACAUAUAAAGGUUUCCUUAUUUUGUAAUUUAAAGUCAUUUUAAAAAAUUCAAAAUAUAACAUAUAAGAAAAAAUCUAAUUUUUUUAUUAUAUUGUUAAUGUGAUUGUUUAAGUUUUUUUAAUAAUAUAAAUUUAACAAAAAUGAAGAAGGAUGCAAAAAUUGUUAUCAAAUCUUUAUUAUUCAUAAUCAUUAAUUCCCGUAUAUAUGUAAUUCAUAUUAGGUAAUUCCGUAGCCUUUAUUUAAGGAAAGAAUACACACUUCAUAUAUUUUAGGUUAAUAUAAUGUUCUCUAGUGUUAUAUAAUUAUGGAAUAAUGUGACACCAUUAGAUGAAACUAUACUUUAUAUUAGAUGCUCUAGAAUUCUUUGAAAUAGAAUUUAGAAGGCAUUUAGAGUGCCGCCUAGGAUUUGGGAUUUUUUUUUAAUUAAUACAAAAUUAAGAUUCUAAUUUUUCAAAUGCUUCUCAAUUAAUAUAUAGGGGAUAUCAAUCAUUAAAUGAACAUGUAUCUUGCAGAUUUAAUACUAAUCAAUAGACUCUAAUCAUUAAAUUUUAAACCAAAAAUUAAAUCCUAACCCCAAAUAUUAAAAUUUAAAGUUGAUCCUAACUUCACUCUCACUCUCUAAAUACUAAAUCGUGAACUCUAAUCACUAAAUCCUAAACCAUAAAUUAAACCCUAAAUUUAAAAAUAAACCCUAAACUCAAAUAUCAAAAUUUAAUGUUGAUCCUAAUUUCAUUCUACCUUCUAAAUACUGAAUCCUAAAUCCUAAUCACUAAACCCUAAAUCCAAAUAUAAAUCUUAAAUCUAAAUAAAAUAAAUAUCAUAUUACACAUUUGUGAAAUUAUGAAAUAUCUAUGACUUAGCCAAUUUUUAUUGAUUUUCAUUUUAAUAAUGAACGCACAAGUACAACUUGAAGUAAACGAGCGCAUACACCAUUAAAAUAAUAGUCAAAAUAAAUUGUCAAGUCUUAUUUUGUUUAUGAAAAAAUAAAAACUAAUUAAAUUAAUUGCCUAAGCAAGGAAAAAAAAAUUACAUUGAUAACACAGUUAGCAAACCCCUGAACAUUGUUAGCAAAAUCGUAAGCCCUAAGCUGCAAACCCUAAACCCUAAAGGGUGAACCUUAAAUCCUAAACUCUAAUCUAUGAAUUCUCAGGGGUGAUUCAUAGGGUUUAAGAUAUAAAGUUUAAGAUUUACGGUUUAACAAACGGUAUUUAACAACAUUUUUUUCUUUUUUUGACAAUUAAUAUUAUUUUUUCAUAAAUAGAAUAUAACUUAAAUUUUUUUAUUAAUUAUUGUUUUAAUAAUGAGUGGACAUGUUCAUACAUUUAUUCUAAGAAGUGAACAAUUUUAAAAAAAAUUUAUUAAUAGUAUGUGGGAUCUGAUAAAAAUGAAAGUGAAUUUAAAGAAAAAAAAUCAGGAUAAGGAGAAAUGGAGAGAAAGAUGCAUGGAGAGGGAGAGACAAGUGGGAUAGAGAGAUGUGAUGUACAUGACAGCUACGUAGAAUAGUAUUUUUGUAGUAUAGAAAAGUCAUAUUUGGACAAUCUAUCUUAUAAGGUUACUUUUGGGAUAUAAGGAAAAUGAAACAGUACGAAAUCGAUCACCUAAAUAAUCUUAUCGUGUAUAUCAAAUGCAAUUACUCUUUAUUUUAUAUAUCCAUUUCAAUAGUUAAUUAACAAACACUUCUUCUGUUUUUACUUAGCAGCAAAACUGGAAAUUCCAGCUAUUCUUGUCGCUUUCUUUUUACCCAUACAUUUUCCGUAAUAUGAGUAUAUAAUAUAAUGUAAUGUUCUAUAAACCUGGUUAAACGUCUGCAUAGAGUAUAAAUCAAUCAUAUAUUAAAUCAUUUAUCAAAAUUUGAUUUAAGCAAUUCAAAUCAGUUUAAACCAUUUUGAAUCGGUUCAAAUCGGUAUAAAACGAUAUAAAUUAAUCUAAAUUAGCUUAAAUCAAUUUAAAUAAGAAAAUAAUGUUAUUGAAAGUAACAAGUUUGUCUGAGUUUUUUUGUACAUCUAAUAUAUUAUAAUUUAUCAAAAUAAUAUUAUAAUUAAACCUAAAACAAUAUAUGACAUAAAUAUAAUAUAUAGUAAACAAAUAAUAAUUUAUUAACGCAUACAUCCCGUCUAGAUCCGAAUAAUUUUCCUAGCCGGUAGUUCUAUACAAAGCGUAUAAUUAUUGAUUAGCAAAAUUUUGAACAUUGAUAUAAUAUAUUGGAUAUGAAGACUACACAAAUAUUUUUAAAAUUUAUGCAUCUUAUACAUAGGUGAAAAUGGUAGACCACCUUUGCCAAUGAACUGAAGAUAAGACUUGAAAUAUAUCGCACACAAAUUCACAGACACACCGUAAUACGACUAAUUUGUAAUUUGAUAUACAUUAUUAGAGAUAAUUAGUAGAGCAAAAUGUGUAUCUUACGAACGAGUACUGUUACGAAACGUCUGAUUAUGAAGUGAAUUUCAUGAAGUUUAUCGAACCUAAAUGGAAGAAUAUUAUAUACAUUCUAUCGUGAUAAGGAUUAUAUGAUUAAAAUUUAGAUAAGUUAUAUUCUUAAUUAAGAUAUAGGUCUAAACUAUACUCUCUCCGUUUAAUUUUAUUUGUCGUUCUAGGUUUAUAUACACAGAUUAAUAAAACAUAUAAUUUUGUAUAUUUUCAAAAUAAAAACAUUAUUAUCUAUACACCUAACCAUAUUUCAACCAAUAAAAAAAUAAACAGGAAAAAUCUUGUUAAAAAUUUUGCAUUGAAAUUCUAAGACGACACUUUUGUUUUGCAACGAAAAUUUUACUCCACAACGAAAAUUAAAUUGAAGUAAAGGGAGUUAUAUUCUAUUUUCCAAUUCUAGAUGUUAAUAGAGCAUUCGAUCAAAAGUAAAGUUUCUGCAUCAUAUUUUAAUAUUUUGAUAUUGAUUAUCGGAUGGUGUUGAAGAUGAUGAAAAAUGUGGUGACGAUGAUGAAGACGAGGACCUCUCAUUAUUGAAUGAGACUUCUCGUGAAAAAAAUGAAGGGAGAAUUUCAUAUUUACUACUUUUAUGGUACCAUUAUUCGUUUUUACUAUCGCUAAAAGGACAUUUUCAAAAUAUAUUGUUCAUUAAGUGGUAGAAUAUUUUUAUAUCAUUUUUCUCUAUAUAUAUAAUAAAUAAUUAUUUAAAUAAAAAAUAAUAAAAAAAUUUAUGUUUCCGAAUUAUACUUUUUCAAAUUCGAACUCUUUUAUAAAUUUUUAUUUUUAUUUUUUCGAAAAAAUUUCUUUUCAAAAUAUCUUUUUGAAAAGCGAAAAUUAUGUUUGAAACUAUUUUUUAAAAAAUUAAUAUUUUUAAGUUUUUAUUUGUAUAUUUAUUAGAUUCUUUAAUUUCACAUUCUAAAAACUCUACCUACUUCAAUUUUAAAUCUUAAGUCUAGAUUAGUUAAUCAUAGAGAUAAAGAUGUCUUUUAUCAUUCAUUAAAAGUGAAGAUAAAAGUUGCUAGUUUAAACAUAAAAAUGAUAUUAUAAAUAUGGUAUUCGUGGCAAUUUUCCAAACGUGAAAUUGUUACCUUCACGUUGUGGAGGUUUUAAUUAGGCUAGUGGGUUUUUUCUGUUUUGAUUUGCCUACUCCACGCUUUUUUUUUAAUAAAUACUAGGUUAAAGUUUUUGGUUUGAAACUUUCUUUAUGGUUUAGUUUUGGUGAGUGCAAAGAUUAUUAAGAGUUUUAGUGGGGUUAAAGGUUUGUGGUUUUCACAUGGGUUAAGUUUUGUCCGAGAUAUUUCUAUAGUUUAAAUUUUUAUGGUGUUUUGUUUUACCAUAGUUAGAAUAUUUUAAGUUAUAGUUUUUAACUAUUAUGAGAGAGUUCUAGCAGUAGACCGCUCAAGUUUUUAAUGAUUUAGUAUUUCAGAUUCAAGAGUUUCACUUGAAGGUUGACUUUGAGUUUGACUAGUGAGAAUUAUCUUGAUGCAGAUCUCGAAUGACAUCCAGAUAAAAAAAAAAUGCAGAUCAAACUCAAAAUGCAAGCAGAACAAAUGAAGAUUAAACAGAUCAGCAGAACAAAUGCAGAUCUAAUUGGUUUAAUUUAUUUAUCGAAUUAGCAUAUUUGACCAAAUGUUAAAAAAAAUAAUUUUGUAAGAUAAAUAUCUAAAAAAAGUACAAAUUCUUACCAAUUAUUUUUAUUAUUUUAAUAAAUACAAGGAAAAAUUAAACAUUAUAUAAAAAGUAAAUACAAUUACAAUAUACAAUUGAAUUAAAAAGAUUAUUUUUUUCCAUAAUGUAUUUGCAAUAAUUUCUCUAUUGCUUAACAUAAGAUUUCCUUGUCCGAUUUCCAGCUUUUCCAAACCAUUUUUUUCAGCCAUAGAACUGGCAUUGCCAAUCUCUGCAUGGUUUGGGUCGUACUAGGUUAUUAUGGUUUGGAUUAUUAGGAUUCACUUAGGAAAACCAACUUUUUUUUUGGAUUGGAUCGAUUCGAAUGUUGUCGGGUUUGGGUCAUAUUUCUAUUUUAUAAAACCCAAAACAUAACCAAGUUAACAAUUUUUUCGGUUCGAUUUAGGUUUAAAGUUCGAAACCAAAAAACCAAAAAAACUCUGAAAAUCGCCGCUAAACUCGAAAAAACCCAAGAAAAUAUUCCGAUAAUCCAGGUUUUUUAUAAGUUUCAAUUUAAAAAUUAUAUAUUUAUAUAUAAGUAUUUUAAAAUUAAAAAUUAGUUGUGAUGUGCAAACUGAAUAUUUAUUGUAAUAUUCAGGAACAUUUGAAUAGAAUAUACUGUAUAAAUAAAUAAUACUAGACCCUGACAUGCGCGCCAGCGCGGAUAUGAAUUUUCAGUUUUUAAUUAUUUAUUUUAUUAAAUUAUGUAUUUGUAAUAUUCGUUCAUAUUAUAUUCAUUAAGUAAAUAUUUAUUUUUCUGCAUCUUAAACUAUCUAUUUUUUUUACGAAUGUAUGAUAUCAUAUAAAAAAAAUGAGUAUAGAGUUAAAUAGAUAAUUUUGAAAACAGAAAUUUUUCUUUCGUGUGCGAUAUCAUGUAAAUAGUGAUCCGUCCAGUUAACAAAAACCAUGAUUUUUUUAUGUGUAAUUUUUUUUGUUUUGACCAUUUAUAACAAAAUAUUUAAAAAAUAUUUUUAGAAUUUGUUUGAAAAAUAUGAAAAUUACAUUUUAAAUUAAAAUUAGCCUAAAAUAUGAUAAGUUUUGAUGUAAACGAAAACUUAAAUUAUGUCAAAAAUAAUGAUAUUCAAUGAUAAUAACAAUUUUAAUUGAUUAUUUUUAAAAAAAUACAUUUACAAAAAUAUUGUUUGAAAGAAAAUUCAUUUAUCUUUCAAAUAUAAAAUGAAAAUAUUAUAAUUAAAUAAUAAAAAAUAUAAAUAAAAACCAUAAAUUUAGCAAAUGACAACUGAGUUAUAUUAUGCUAAAAUUUUCUUUCUAACAAUUUAUCAAAUGACAAAUGAGUUAUCAGCAAAUAAUACCAUAUAAUUUUAAAAAACAUAGUCAUUCUUAAAUAUUUUUUGAAUAAAUAAUUAUUUUUAAAUUUAAUCAACUGAAAAUAAUAUCCGUACAAUUGUGUGAGUCAAAUUCUAGUUUUAUUGAUGCAUGUUAUAUAUUAGUGCUGCAUGUUUUAGGUAACAUUUUAAUGAUGCACGUUUUUAAAAAUCUCCAUUAUUAAAAUUAUGCACGUAAGGAUAACUCAUGAGUUUUUUUGGUUGAUUAAAUGACAUUAUGUCCAAAUUUAUUUAAGGAUAUUUCAUUAAGGUAACUGAAAAAGACAAACAAUAAAAUAGGAAGUUUAAAUUCAUUUAAGCAUAUUUCAUUAAUGUAACUGAAAAGACAAGUAAUAAAUUAGACAGUUUUAUUCGUUUUAGGAUAUUUCAUAAAUGCAACUGAAAAAGACAAGAAAACAAAAGGAGUUUAAUUAAUGAAGUAAGAACAUUUUCAAAUGUGUACUUCUCUUUUAAUAAUAUAGAUAGAUUUCAUUAAUGUAACUGAAAAGACAAGUAAUAAAUUAGACAGUUUUAUUCGUUUUAGGAUAUUUUAUAAAUACAACUGAAAAAGACAAGAAAAAAAAAGAGUUUAAUUAAAGAAGUAAGAACAUUUUCAAAUGUGUACUUCUCUUUUAAUAAUAUAGAAGUGUUUCAUAUUAAUUUUAGGGAAAUUAGUUAGAAUAACUUACAUUUUAUGAGAAAUUACUAGAGUAACACACACAAAAAAAGAAAAAUGUGAUAUGUUACAAAAGUUCGGAAAUACCCCAUCGUCUCAUUAAACACAUGUCUAAUAAAAAAAAACCCUUAGCCAAAAAAGAAUUACUUCACGAUUUCCCCCUUUCUCAUUAGACAUGAACCCUAAAUCCCAAACUGUCAAUUCUUCAUCAAUCAAGGCUCACUUAUUUGUCAAUUGAUUUCUCCUUGAUUCCGACUUCGUAGCACCGUUUUCUAUCACUAAAAACUUCGGAUUCACAAAGGGAAAGUGAUUUAGAGAGUCAAAUCCGACGAUCCAAAACUACGUUUUCAAAUCCGCUUUCUACUCUUAUUCUCGUUGAUUUCUUCAGUAGUACAAACUCGUAUCCGCCUCAAUCUGUUUUGUUGACACAUAAAUCGUGCCAUCAAGGGUAAGUCAGCCAAAAUUUAGAUUUUGGUGGUUCUGAGUAUCAUUGAUUUGGAUUUUACCUUGAUCCAGAGCUGGUAGUUGGGUUCUUAAUUGAUAGUAAUACGGGUUUCAUUGCAUCUCUGUUUCAUAUGUUCUUAAUUGAUAGUUGGUAAUUAGAUUUUAACAUAUGUUUUCCUAACUACAUUGUACACCUUUUAUAGAGGGAUGACUAAAUCAAACAGUGCAAAAACAUAUCCAGCAAGGUUGUAUGAAGAGGGGAAACGUCCAUUGCAACAUCGAAGCAUGAAUCACAACUGUCACUUGGCUGGUUUGCAGAUGGUCGAGGAAGCAGUUGGCUUUGAUGCGUGGGAAUCCAUUAAAACAUCAUCUGUUGGAGUUAUUGUGAAGUUGAAAGAGCUGGAUUAUGCCUGGUCAGCCAAGGCAGUUCACCAUUUAUUGACAAACCAAUUGGUGGUUAAUAAUAUCCAUGAGAUAUGGUCUGCUAUAGAAGGUCAACCAAUUAGGUUAUCGCUAUAUGAGUUUGGUCAAAUUACAGGUUUAAAUUGUAUCCAUACAUAGGGAACUCAACUGUGAAGAGGAUUAUAACUGGGGUCUCUAAAGCCCACUAUGAUCCCUUAGCUAAAGUUGAUGAGACAAAAUUUAAGAAGCUACUGGAUUAUCUGCAAAGUAUUGUGUAAGUGUAAAGAUUAACAUGUCUUAUUUAUUCCUAAUAAAUCAUUACUGUUAAACUAACUUGAGCUUGUUUUUAUUCAUUUAGUGAUGAUAACGAUGUAGACACUCACUUCUAUAUGAAGCUAAUAACGCCAAGAAAUGAUUGGGAAACAGAUGAAUUUGGGUGGCUAGCAGAUUCUGUAAGUUUCUUAUUUUUUGUUGUAUCAUCAUGAAUCCAGGUGGCUAACAGAAACUCAUUUUUUUGUUGACAGCAUAUGACAUCUGCAAUGCUUAUGUUUCAUAAAAGAUCUAUGAGGGACCCUUCACCAUACUCUUCAUCAAGGAUAGCUUUUCUUGAGCACUGGUUUGUCAAGAUGUGGGUCAGAGACUACAAGAAAUACGAUCCUAAGACGUGGAAGUUCUCAGACACUUACAAGAAGGUCUUCAAUGGCAAUUACCCUACAGAGUUUUUCAACAACAGAAAGUGGCUGAAGGAUGUGGAUCGAUUGUUUCUUUGCCACUUGAUAAAUGGUGACCAUUGGGUAGCUUUAGAAGUGGAUCUUCUGAAGAAAAUAAUCCAUGUUUACGACAACAUACAGACAGUUGUCCCAAGCCUCAUGGAUCUACAAGAAGAGUGUCGUCCUUUAACGAAGAGGAUUCCUUUAUUGCUGAAUGAAAUGCUUCCAGAUAGGAAGAAGAGUUCACAGCGGUUCAAAAUUUCAAGACUUAAAAGUGUGCCCAAGAAUGAAAACCCUGGUGAUUGUGGUGUUUACACUCUGAAGUAUAUAGAGUGUAAGGCGAUUAGCUGUGGUUUUGAAGGACUUUCUGAUCAGUGCAUUCCGGCAAUGUGUAUUAAGUUAGCUUAUGAGAUCUAUGAUGAGAUUUCGGAUCUGUAGUAUUUUCAUGUUUUAGAAAGAAAACUUAUUGACUGGUAUGUAGUAUUUUCAUGUUCCGGAAUCAUUAUCUACUUGAUGACUAGAAGUUGUGUAACUUGAUUAUGAAUCUUAAGUAGAACUUGUAUGGAUGGCAUAGUGAAAUCCUUGUUGCUUGUUUCACGACUUGUCUAUUACUUUGAGUUUAGUUGUUUAAUGUUAUUAGACCUGUCUAUUACUUGGACUUGUCUAUUACUUUGAAUCUAUUACUUUGAGUCUAACCAGAAACAAGAAAAAAGUGCGAAGAGUUGUCUCAGCAGAAACAAGAGUAAAUAGUCUCUAACCAGAAAAAUAAAAAAAGUGAGUAGAAUUGUCAGCAAAAACAAGAAACAAGUGCAAACACAAACAAAAAACAAGUUAGUCAAAUUGACUAACCAACAGGACAUGUUUUACAAUUGUGACCAACCUGAUAACAAAUUGAACAUUUAUGCUCUUUUCUUGGGCGUUUAGUAGUUUCAACUUUCCCAAACCAAGAUUUCAUUCUUGAUUUUUUGGGUCUCCCUGGUUGUUGUCGAACCUCAGGUGGCAAACAAAUUUUGCCUUCGACAUUAUCAGGUACCCGCGUCUCAGAAUCUCUCGGCAUUACUGUUGUGGAGUAAGCGUUGUACAAAUAGUUUGAACGGUAGUAUAGAUGACACAGUGAAAUCCUUGAUAACUUUCUCGCCUCAGCUGCUGCAAUUGCAUGAACGCAAGGUAAUUUUUCCAAGUCAAAUCUGCGGCAUGAACAUCUCCGCUGAGUCAAAUUCACUAUGUUUGUAGAUGAGACACUUGACACCUGAUAUUGGUGAAUAUCUAUCUGUUGUACGUUUAAAAUUUUAGCGAAUGGUACACGACCCUACACAAGUAUGUUGCAAUGUUAGUUUUGUGUGUAGUAAAAAUAGUUUGUUUUAGAAACUCAUGUUUACCUCUAAAAGCUUCUCUACUCCACGAGUUGAAGUUGUUUUCAUCAAAUUUGCAUCAUUCUUCCGAGUCGAAAACCAGUGUGUCAUCAUUUGCCUUAUUGCUUCUAAAAGUCUUACAACGGGCAAACUCCUUGCAUCUGAAAGCACUCUAUUUAUAAAUUCAGCUAUAUUAGUUGUAGUCAAAUUGUACCUAUCACCAGGAAAAUGAGCACGUGCCCACUUCCUUACAUCUGCUUUGUGCAAGUAGCCAUGCAAUGUCGGAUGCAUAGAUUUGAUCUCCUCAAAUAUGGUCUCAAAAUCUGACAAUCUGUAUGAAUUUGCUGCCUUUUUAACCAAGCCAAACAACUCCCGACCUCUAAACUUUACCAACACAUUCAUGUAUAAGUGAUAAGUGCAAACUCCAUGGCUGGCCUUUGGAUAUACAUGGGUAAUUGCAUUUCCAAUUGAUUUGUCCCUGUCUGAAAUAAUAGCAAGUUUUUCGUCAUCUGGAAUCACACAGUUGAGUUGUCUAAAAAACCACUUCCAUGAUUCAUCGUUCUCCGUAUCGACUAUCGCAAAUGCAAUUGGAAAUAUCUGGAAAUUUCCAUCCUGUGAUGACACAAUUAGUAGAGUCCCUUUGUACUUUUCUUGCAAGAACGUGCCAUCGACAACAGAAACCUUCCUCAUGAAUGGAAACCCCUCGAUGGUAGCACCAAAUGCGAGGAAAAGAUACUUGAAUCUGUCACUAUAAUCUACCUCUAGGCGAGUGAAUGUCCCAGGAUUUGCCUCCCUUAUCAUGUGUAGAUACGCAGGUAAAUCAUGAUAUCCACUCUCAGCAGAUCCCCUAACCAACUCUCUUGCAUAUUGCAGCGUCCGAUGAGCUUUCCAGUAGUCAAUCUUUAUUCCAAAGCACAUGUUAAGCGACUGCAUCACAUGACUGGGCAAAAUUCUUGGCUCCACUCCACCAAUAAAUUCACUGUAUAAAGCUCCAAGAAUCUCUGGUGUUGCUUGUCUGCAACGAGCUGAUCUUUCUGUAACUGAACAAGUAUUUUCUGAAACAUAGCCGCAUACCGUAAAGUGAGGACUAUCACUUGUUGGUGAUGCUCUUAAUUUCCAACUACAACCUCUAACCCAACACUUUACUACUAACAGAUUUGGUGUUGAGUAGUCGACAUCGUAAUCAAAUUGUUGCACUACCGUCAGCAUCUUAAGUCUUGUUUUCAAUGCAGACUCGGACUCAAAACUUUGGCCAACGACUAUAUUUAGUGAACUCAAUUGUUGUCUGACGUGCGGAGUUACAGCCUAAGUUUUUUUCAAUGUAGUCGCUAGCCCCACCUUUGGUGUGUGCACCUUCCUCAUCUUUAUAUCUACUUCUGGAGGUACUCCGUAGGCUAUAAAGUCCUCAUCAUCUGAUGUCGCACCAUCUGAAUCAUCGCAAUAGUCAAACCGUUCUCUAUCGGUGUCUGAGUCACAGGACUAGGAUCAGAUUGAUUCACAAUUUCUCCAUGAGUGCUAUUUUUUAUCGUCUUCCUAUUGACUCUGCAACUGACCUCCACGCAUAGCCGAACAUGGUCAGACUUCAGGUGAUGGAAGAAACCUUGUAAUUGAUGGAAAUUCCCAAUUUUCAGGGAUGGUGUGUCAAGAGUUAGCUUCAACAAACACUUCCUACUGGGCAUGUAACUCAACUCGAUACAAACAUGCCACUUAUCUAACCCGUAGUCCUCAUAAACCAUGUUUAUCAUAUCUUCGAAGGCCGUGUUGUCAGUUAUUGGAAUUACUUUGCUUCCUCUUCUCUUAUCAACGUGAAACAUCCACCUUUCCUUCUCCAAUAACCACUGCCCACAAACUGCUGUAACUUCCUCACUACAAGAAAACAUAAUCUUAACGAGGGCGGUUUUCCUCGUGAGUUCGUCGUAAAAGAGGCUUUACGACGAAUUAGCGAGGAACCACGUUUGCUCGUUACUCAUCUGUCGUAACACAUAUUUCCUCGCUAAUUCGUCGUAACGUAGCGAGGAAUAUAUUUCGUCGUAAAGACGAAGUAGAUCAUUUCGUCGUAAAGACGAAGUAGAUCAUUUCGUCGUAAAGACCACGUCAACAUUCCACGUAAAGAGGUAGCUAUAUUUCCUCGUAAAUACCUCGAAACAAGUUCCUCGUAAACUACACGUAAAUACCUUGAAAGUUUUUCCUCAUAAAAUACUCGUUUAUCUUUCCUCGUUAUUUCCUCGUAAAUGUUUUCUCGUAAAAUACUCGUUUAUUAUUUUUCGUCAUUUCCUCGUAAGGUUUCCACGUAAAUAGGUCGUACCUUAGCUACGAAUUUACUUCGUUUUUAUUAUUUUACAGAAUUUAAAAAUAUAAUUAAAAAAUAACUAAAAUUAUUUAAUUUAUUAAUAAAAUUAAAAUUUAAAAUAAAAAUAAAUCAAUAUGAAAAUAUUUUAUAUAUAAAUAAGUUUUGAAUUUAUAUAAUACAACAACCAAAAAAAAAACUAAGGGUCGUUCAUCGCCCGGUAGAAUUCAUCACUCCUCCUCGUAACAUCCGCCUCGUUAUGUACGUCGGAUGACUCGCCUUGAAUGGGAUGUUGUUGUCGCAUGUUCCUCAACAUGGACUCCCAUUCCGGAUUUGUGGCCGCAAUAACGUCCAAGAAGCCCUCGACUCCACCCAUACGAGAUUUUGUCGCGGUCAACUCGUUACGCAGCUGAGCGGACUCUCUACGCAGCUCAGUGACUUCAUCAUCCCGUCGCUGACCAUAAGACGAUGUCGCUCUCGGAACAUCGUUGACGGAACCAAUACCCAACGUCCGGUCCUUUUUUUUAGGGACAACCUUAAAAACAAAAAAUAAAUAUUGUAAGUAAAAAUUUAAAGUUAAAUUAAAUGAAUAAUUAAAAAUUAAUUUUUUUGAAAAUUUACCUCCUCGUAAAUCUUAUCCACUUCAAGUGUGGAUAAGGUGACGGGUAAUCCGUCGGUAGACUGCUGGGUCAGCUGAGUCUGGCGGUCUUCAACCCGAGCAACCACGUCGUUGUAGAUUUGCUCGGACUUGCCAUCUACAAAUACGCCCGCCUUGUUCUUGUGGGUCCUCUCGUAAAGUUCCAUAAGAGACGGGAGAUGUCCCGUCUCUUUGGCCUAAAAAACAUUUAAGAAAGUUAGAAUAAAAAUAUAUAUAUUAAAAAAUUUAUUUAAUAAAAUAUUUAAUUAUCAUUUCCAAACGGACAACGGCGUAGGGUUUUUGGCCCGUAGUGUGAAGCAUCGGCCCGUUUCCGUGCUCAUCGACCGUGUUACGGGAGUUAGAGCAAACCUGGGCGAUUCUAAUGGAAUCAGGAAGGCGCCAAUAACGGAUGAGGCCAUCCCACACAUCCGUGGUGAGCUCAGCGGGUUUGCCACGCUCAUACCCCUUCACGAUCCAGUCACCCUUCCAGUUGGAGACCGUGUCCAACAAGCGAACUUUCGCCUUCGCGUUAAACUUCUUCCUCACCCUCUCAGUGAUCCCCAAGGCCCAAUUAUAUUUUUGCUGUUGGAAAAAAUAAAUUAACAAUUAGUUUUUUAGAAAGUAUAUAUAUAAAUCAUGAAACAAUUAAAAAAAAGGGCAAAUCUCCAAAAUAGCACAUUUCUAAGUUUAUAUCACAAAAAUAGCACUCAAAAACUAAAAUGACCAAAAUAUAAGUUUAUCCUUUGAAAAUUUUAAUUUUUUUAUUUUUCAAAAUUUGAAAUCUUAUCCCCAAAACCUCAUUUCUCAACUCUAAACCCUAAACCUUAAACUCUAAACCCUAAACCCUAAACCCUAAACCCUAAACCCUAAACUCUAAACCCUAAACCCUAAACUCUAAACCCUAAACACUAAACCCUAAACCCUAAACCCUAAACUCUAAACCCUAAACCCUAAACCCUAAACCCUAAACUCUAAACCUUAAACCCUAAAUCCUAAACCCCACCCUUUAACUCUAAACCCUAAGUUUUUGACUUUUGAUAAAAUAUUAAGUGCUAUUUUUGUGACUUUUGACUUUGAGUGCUAGUUUGGGAACAAAAACUUGAUUUAGUGCUAUUUUUGUCUUUUUCUCAACAAUUAAAGUAUAUAUAAUUAAUUGAUAGAACCUUACAGCGUAAAUUUUGAACCACGUCUUUCUGACGUAGUGAGGCGUCUUACUCCAGUUCGGAUGUGCCAUGGAGAAGUAACUUUUGAUCGUGUCGAUUACGUCCGAUGCAAGACAUCCGUAAACCCCCCACCUGGAAAAUACAAAUUUAAAAUAUAAAUUAUUUUUUAAUGUUAUAAAAGAAUUUUAAACGAAUUAAAAAAAAAAUUAAUGCAACAUACCACAAAGUUCCGUUCGGUCGGUCGGGGUCGAUGACUGGUAAACCUUCUCUGCCUGGCAAACGGAGAAUGUCCUCUACAGUGUACUGCGAGUAAGGAGCACUCGGAGGCACCAUCAAAUCGGGAUGAAUAUCGGCGGCCAUCGGAGGUGCCAUCGGAGGAGGCACAGGAGGAGGCAUCGUCGGAUGAGCCAUCGGGGAAGGCACAUGAGGAGCCGAUGGUGCACUAGAAGAAGUAGACCCAGAGACUCUCUGAGUGUACUGAGUCUCGGGGACAGUCUCCUGACCCGAAGAACCGGGAGCUGAAGAAGAGGCCGGGUCUAAACGACUACCCGGCUCACCGAAGAUCUCUCUGUAAUGGGCAGUAAGUCUUCCUUUUCGAACCUGGGAAAAAAAUUAAAUUUUUAAAAUUAACAUCAACAGUAUAUUUCCCAACAUUAUCCACCUAAUGAACACUAAAUAACAUAAAAUCCGUAAACCUAUCUAAAUUCCCUAUACUAACCACCUAAUCUAUCCUAAACUAACCAAAUUAGAGAGGAAUUAGAGAGACUUACCAUUGCUACGAAAUGGAGAGGAAGUGGAGAGGAAGUAGAGAGGAAAGAAAGAGUGAGCGCUCGGGGGUAUAUAUAAGAUUACAUAUCGUCGCAAAUUCCUCGUAAGGUUACGACGAAAUAGCGAGCAGUUACAAAGGCCCGUGUUUUUUUUUACGAGGAAAUAGCGAGGAAUCACAAAGGCCCGUGUUUUUUUUUACGAGGUAUUAACGACGAUUUAGCUUACGAGGAAUUAACGAGGCUUGCUUUCCUAUAAAUAUACCCACAACUCUCAUUCUCAAACCACACACAAACUCCCAAAUCACACCUUAUCUCAAAUCACAUUCCUCAGCAAAAUCCUAUUCAAAUUAUAAAUAUUUGAAAAAAAUAGGAAAAGGAGAAGAUAUUAGAAUUCAUGUGGGCGAGACUUACGUAUUAUAAUUGCUGGAAGUCUUGCCACAUGUUAAUCUGGUAUUUUUCUCCUUUUCCUUUUUUUCUAGUUUUUACACUACGAGGUAUUUACGACGAUUUCUGCUUACGUGGAAUUAACGAGUGUUAUGUUUAAAUCCUUUUACGUGGUAUUUACGACGAUUUCAUCCAACGUGGUCUUUGUGACGAUUUCCGCUUACGUGGAAUUAACGAGUGUUUUGUUUAAAUCCUUUUACGUGGUAGUUACGACGAUUUCAUCCUACGAGGCCUUUACGACGAUUUGUGCUUACGUGGAAUUAACGAGUGUUAUGUUUAAAUCCCUAGAAUCCGAAACCCGAAACCCGAAACCCAAAACCCAACCUCAAACCCCGAAACCUCCAAACCCCAAGCCCCAAACCCCAAAUCUGAAACCCCAAACCCCAAACCUCAAACCCCGAAACCUCUAAACCCGAAACCCGAAACCCCAAACCCCAUAUUCCAAACCCUAAACUCCAUAUUCCUUAUUUUCAUAUAUUUCAAACUCCAUCUUUAUUUUUAAAUUUCCUCGUUAUUUCCUCGUUGGCUUACGAAGUAUUUACGACGAUUUCUGCCUACGUGGAAUUUACGACGAUUUCUUAUACGUGGUCUUUACGACGAUUUGUGCUUACGUGGAAUUAACGAGUAUUAUGUUUAAAUCCCUAAAAUCCGAAACCUCCAAACCCCAAACCCCAAACCCCAAACCUGAAACCCCAAACCCCAAACCUCAAACCCCGAAACCUCCAAACCCCAAACCCCAAACCCCAAACCCCAAACCCCAAACCCCAAACCUCAAACCCCGAAACCUCUAAACCCGAAACCCCAAACCCCAAACCCCAUAUUCCAAACCCCAAACUCCAUAUUCCUUAUUUUCAUAUAUUCCAAACUCCAUCUUUAUUUUUAAAUUUCGUCGUUAUUUCCUCGUUGGCUUACGAGGUAUUUACGACGAUUUCUGCCUACGUGGAAUUUACGACGAUUUCUUAUACGUGGUCUUUACGACGAUUUCUGCCUACGUGGAAUUUACGACGAUUUCUUAUACGUGGUCUUUACGACGAUUUGUGCUUACGUGGAAUUAACGAGCAUGCGUUCUUUAUUUUAAUAUUUCGUCGUUAUUUCCUCGUUGGCUUACGUGGAAUUAACGAGUGUUAUGUUUAAAUCUCUAGAAUCCGAAACCCCAAACCCCAAACCCCAUAUUCCUUAUUUUCUACUUCAUAUAUUCCAAACCCCAUCUUUAUUUCUAUUCCAAACCACAAUUCCCACAUUUGUUUAUUCAUAAAACAAACUCCCACAUUACCUUAUUCAUAAAACAAACUCCCACGUUUGCUACGAAUGCAUCAGCUACCAUAUCAUGAACCCUAUCAUAAUCUAACAUCUCCUCCUGAUGGUAACUAUGUUCAUUAUGCAAAUGAUGUUCAACCGGUUCUUUUUCCUGAAAAUUGCUAUUACUACUACUAGCUUCAUUCUUAUCAUAAUUAAAACAUUCUCCAUGUUGAAACCAGAUAUAGUAAUUUGGCGUGAAACCUCUAUUUAUUAAAUGCUUCCAAACAUUUUCACGGUUUGCCAGUUUCGAAUUGUUGCAUUUCCGACAAGGACAGAACAUCUUACCACUUUCUUGGGCGAGCGGUGUUGAAUCUGCUUGAUGCAUAAAUGUCUCCAGACCCGCAAGGUAUUCUUUCGUCACUCUCCCGUUAGCAUCUCUAUGCAUAUACAUCCACUUCCGCAACUCGUAAAUAGUCCCGGAGCCAGCCAUUUUUUUUCUUUCACGUUUUUUGUUGUUGGUGUGUUUAAAAUGAUGUUCAAACAUCCAUAUUUAUAGGAAAUUUCGAAUCUGGUAGUUGUAAUUUUCCUAUGAAUUUAUGACGAAAAUUAAUUAGGUGGCAAAAAAAAAACGUGUAACACUUACAAAGUUGGUGGAUUCAAAAUUUCCUCGCUAAAUACACGUAAACUAUUUCCUCGUAAAUAACACGCAAAGUUUACAUCGUAUUGACGAGGAAAUAGUUUUUCCUUGUAAAAUACUCGUUAAAUUACAUCCACUUUACGGCGAAACACUUUUGUCGUUACGUUACGAGGAAAUAACGAUGACUUUAGUUUUCCACGUAAGUUCCUCGUAAAAUCGGCGUAAAUUUACGAGGAUUGUUUUUCCUCGUUAAAUUUCCUCGCUAAGUAUGUGUUUUCUUGUAGUGCCUCCAUAAAUUUUCCUUGGGAUUAACUUGAGCGUAAUCCACUUGUCAAAAACAGAAAUCGUGACUUGUGGGAGAAGAAGAUGUUACGGCUAAACCUAGGUUAGUUAUCGAUUUUUGGUUCAUUAGUUAACCCUUUUUUGAAUUAGAUAAGUUAACCGGAAUUUUUAAUUAAAAUUUAUUCAUUUACUAAAACGGAAUCUGCCAAAUUAAAAGGUAUACACAGUACAUAAAAGCUUGCUAUCAAAUAGAGUUAGUUUUGUAAUUAAUUUAUAAGUCUGCUACCUCGAAAAUGAAAUAAUAUGCUAAACUACAAAAAAGUUUACGAGAAAAAUUUGGUUUACUUUGUAAAAGUCGACGACAUAUUAAAAACCUGCUAUCAUACGAAAAAAACUGCCAUAAAAAGGCUGUUACCUUAAAGAAACCUGCCAACAUAAAUAAAUCUAUCGUAGUGUAUAGUAGACUUAUUUUUGAAAGUUUUUACGAUAUUAAGUCUGUUUUGAUAAGUCUAUGAUACGUUAUAAAUAUGCGAUAGUCUAGAAAAAAUGCCAUCACAUGUCGCAGAUUUCAAUCGGCAGACUUAUUUAUCCGUCAUGGCAAUUUCGUAAAUAAUUUUUUUUGGUGACGUGGCAAAAAAUAAUAAUGACAUUGUUGGUAACUAUGUUUUUUUGUUAACUAAAGAAAGAAUAGCAUUAUGGGUAUAAAAAACAGUUCUGUAAUUAAAAAAAGUUAUAAGCUAAUCUAGUAAUAAAAACAAUAUUUAGUGUUAUUUGAGUAAUCUUUCCAAUAAAAUAAUCGGUAUUGAUAUUCAUUAAAUUUUUAAGACCAUUAAGUUGAUACUUGAUACUCAAUCCCUUUUCGUGGAUAGGAUUUUGCUAUUUCCCUAUCUAGCAUUGUGUGGGGCAGGCAAUGCUUUCUAGGCUUCUUUUUUUGGUAAAAUAAGUUUUAAUUUCUAGGCUUACGGCUGUUAAAGUAUAAUAAUUGAAGGCUUGAAGCUAACUCCGAUUUUGAAUUGCAUUAUAACUAAACCAGGUUUUGUUUAUUUGAAAAAGUCACGGCCAUCAAAUUGUGUGUGUGUGUGCGCGCAUAUAUGUAAUGCAUCUAUUCGCCAUCAUUAUGUGCAUGUGGUGUUAGUAUAUAUUUUCUUCAGUUCGAUGACAUCUUUGAAGAAGAAAAUGACACGAAUCUAAGUCUAUGAAUGGGAUUGCAGAUCAAACACAAA